UAAUACGUAGGUGGCGAGCGUUGUCCGGAAUUAUUGGGCGUAAAGAGCGCGUAGGCGGGUAAAUAAGUCUGUUUUAAAAGUGCGGAGCUCAACUCCGUGAUGGAAUGGAAACUGUUUAUCUUGAGUACCGGAGAGGAAAGUGGAAUUCCCAGUGUAGCGGUGAAAUGCGUAGAUAUUGGGAGGAACACCAGUGGCGAAGGCGACUUUCUGGACGGUGUCUGACGCUGAGGCGCGAAAGCCAGGGAAGUGAACGGGAUUAGAUACCCCGGUAAUCCUGGCCGUAAACGAUGGGUACUAGGUGUAGAGGGUAUCGACCCCUUCUGUGCCGGAGUUAACGCAAUAAGUACCCCGCCUGGGGAGUACGGCCGCAAGGUUG
Molecule: ribosomal RNA, 376 nt
Filed under: uncultured bacterium
Lineage: Bacteria
Description: bacterial SSU rRNA
Rfam family: Bacterial small subunit ribosomal RNA
Source: RNAcentral